Molecule: ribosomal RNA, 328 nt
Filed under: uncultured eukaryote
Lineage: Eukaryota
Description: partial 18S ribosomal RNA
Rfam family: Eukaryotic small subunit ribosomal RNA
Source: RNAcentral
CCCUUAGAUGUUCUGGGCUGCACGCGCGCUACACUGAUGCACUCGACGAGUUUUCGACCUUGCCCGAUAGGGCUGGGUAAUCUUUUUAAAAUGCAUCGUGAUGGGGAUAGAUUAUUGCAAUUAUUAAUCUUCAACGAGGAAUUCCUAGUAAGCGCAAGUCAACAGCUUGCGUUGAUUACGUCCCUGCCCUUUGUACACACCGCCCGUCGCUACUACUGAUUGGAUGUUUAAGCGAGGUUCUCGAACUGCUAGCGACUUAGCUUCGGUGAGGUCGCAGUGUGGGAAGUGAACCUAGCUUUGGUGUCUAGAGGAAGUAAAAGUCGUAACA